Molecule: ribosomal RNA, 400 nt
Filed under: uncultured bacterium
Lineage: Bacteria
Description: partial 16S ribosomal RNA
Rfam family: Bacterial small subunit ribosomal RNA
Source: RNAcentral
CCUACGGGAGGCAGCAGUAGGGAAUUUUGCGCAAUGGGCGAAAGCCUGACGCAGCAACGCCGCGUGAUCGAGACGCCCUUCGGGGUGUAAAGAUCUGUCAGUGGGGACGAAACGGGACGGUACCCACAGAGGAAGCACCGGCGAAUUCCGUGCCAGCAGCCGCGGUAAUACGGGGGGUGCAAGCGUUGUCCGGAAUCAUUGGGCGUAAAGAGUUCGUAGGCGGCACGUAAAGUCUGGUGUUAAAGGCAGAGGCUCAACUUCUGUACGGCACUGGAUACGUGCGAGCUCGAAGGCGGGAGAGGUAACGGUCAUUCCUGGUGUCGCGGUGAAAUGCUUCGAUAUCAGGAGGCACCUCGGUGGCGUUAGCGCUUUCCUGGGCCGUAAUUGACGCUGAGGACCG